Molecule: microRNA precursor, 192 nt
Filed under: Oryza brachyantha (malo sina)
Lineage: Eukaryota; Viridiplantae; Streptophyta; Magnoliopsida; Poales; Poaceae
Description: MIR812 microRNA precursor family
Rfam family: MIR812 microRNA precursor family
Source: Rfam by way of RNAcentral
AAUAAACGAAUUUCUGUGUUUUUUUUGAAUUUUUGACUUUUCAUUUUAUUUAAAUUUUUUUUAUGAUUAAUAUUUUUAUUAUUAUUGCAUGGUAGAAUAUAAAUAGUAUUUUACGUGUGACUAAAUUUUUUUAUUUUUUAAUAACUUUUUUAAAUAAGACGGAUGGUCAAACGCUCGACCAAAAAAUCUAGA